GUCGAGCGGAAUGAUGAAGAAGCUUGCUUCUUCUGAUUUUAGCGGCGGACGGGUGAGUAACACGUGGGCAACCUACCUUGUAGAUUGGGAUAACUCCGGGAAACCGGGGCUAAUACCGAAUAAUCCAUUUUGCUUCAUGGCGAAAUGUUAAAAGGCGGCGAUCUCGCUGUCACUGCAAGAUGGGCCCGCGGCGCAUUAGCUAGUUGGUAAGGUAACGGCUUACCAAGGCGACGAUGCGUAGCCGACCUGAGAGGGUGAUCGGCCACACUGGGACUGAGACACGGCCCAGACUCCUACGGGAGGCAGCAGUAGGGAAUCUUCCACAAUGGACGAAAGUCUGAUGGAGCAACGCCGCGUGAGUGAAGAAGGUUUUCGGAUCGUAAAACUCUGUUGUAAGGGAAGAACACGUACGAGAGUAACUGCUCGUACCUUGACGGUACCUUAUUAGAAAGCCACGGCUAACUACGUGCCAGCAGCCGCGGUAAUACGUAGGUGGCAAGCGUUGUCCGGAAUUAUUGGGCGUAAAGCGCGCGCAGGCGGUCCUUUAAGUCUGAUGUGAAAGCCCACGGCUCACCCGUGGAGGGUCAUUGGAAACUGGGGGACUUGAGUACAGAAGAGGAAAGCAGAUUUCCAAGUGUAGCGGUGAAAUGCGUAGAGAUUUGGAGGAACACCAGUGGCGAAGGCGGCUUUCUGGUCUGUAACUGACGCUGAGGCGCGAAAGCGUGGGGAGCAACAGGAUUAGAUACCCUGGUAGUCCACGCCGUAAACGAUGAGUGCUA
RNAcentral lists this ribosomal RNA (779 nucleotides) under Sporosarcina sp. K2-4-037. RNAcentral's name for it is "bacterial SSU rRNA". It matches the Rfam family "Bacterial small subunit ribosomal RNA", at positions 61 to 818 of the family's 1533-position model. The record is from RNAcentral. Lineage: Bacteria; Bacillati; Bacillota; Bacilli; Caryophanales; Caryophanaceae.